This 468-nucleotide ribosomal RNA is filed under the name uncultured bacterium. Its description in RNAcentral is "partial 16S ribosomal RNA". It matches the Rfam family "Bacterial small subunit ribosomal RNA", at positions 28 to 507 of the family's 1533-position model. The record is from RNAcentral.
GACGAACGCUGGCGGCGUGCUUAACACAUGCAAGUCGAACGGACAGGUCCUGCUUUUGUUGGGUGCUCGAGUGGCGCACGGGUGAGUAACACGUGUGUAACCCGCCCUUGUCUUUGGGAUAACUUUUGGAAACUGGGGCUAAUACCGGAUAGGAGCUCCUGCAGCAUGGUGGGGGUUGGUAAGAUGCGGCGGUUGGGGAUGGUCUCGCGGCUUAUCAGCUUGUUGGUGGGGUAGUGGCUUAACAAGGCUUUGACGGGUAGGCGGCCUGAGAGGGUGACCGGCCACAUGGGGACUGCGGGACGGACCAGACUCCUACGGGACGCAGCAGGGGGGAAUAUUGCACAAUGGGCGGGAGCCUGAUGCAGCAACGCCGCGUGCGGGAUGACGGCCUACGGGUUGAAAACCGCUUUCGCCUGUGACGAAGCGUGAGUGACGGUAAUGGGUAAAGAAGCACCGGCUAACUACGUG